Molecule: ribosomal RNA, 399 nt
Filed under: uncultured bacterium
Lineage: Bacteria
Description: bacterial SSU rRNA
Rfam family: Bacterial small subunit ribosomal RNA
Source: RNAcentral
CUGGGUUUGACAUGCAGGGAAAUCUCAUAGAGAUAUGGGGUCCGCAAGGGUCCUGCACAGGUGGUGCAUGGCUGUCGUCAGCUCGUGUCGUGAGAUGUUGGGUUAAGUCCCGCAACGAGCGCAACCCUCGUUCUAUGUUGCCAGCGGAUAAUGCCGGGGACUCAUAGGAGACUGCCGGGGUCAACUCGGAGGAAGGUGGGGACGACGUCAAGUCAUCAUGCCCCUUAUGUCCAGGGCUGCACACAUGCUACAAUGGCCGGUACAAAGGGCAGCUAAACCGUAAGGUGGAGCGAAUCCCAAAAAGCCGGUCUCAGUUCGGAUUGGGGUCUGCAACUCGACCCCAUGAAGUCGGAGUCGCUAGUAAUCGCAGAUCAGCAACGCUGCGGUGAAUACGUUCCC